This 429-nucleotide ribosomal RNA is filed under the name Bacteroidota bacterium. RNAcentral describes it as "Bacteroidetes bacterium partial 16S ribosomal RNA". It matches the Rfam family "Bacterial small subunit ribosomal RNA", at positions 355 to 776 of the family's 1533-position model. The record is from RNAcentral. Lineage: Bacteria; Pseudomonadati; Bacteroidota.
UAGGGAAUCUUCCGCAAUGGACGCAAGUCUGACGGAACAACGCCGCGUGAGUGAAGAAGGAUUUCGGUUCGUAAAACUCUGUUGUUAGAGAAGAACAGCGCAUAGAGUAACUGUUAUGCGUGUGACGGUAUCUAACCAGAAAGCCACGGCUAACUACGUGCCAGCAGCCGCGGUAAUACGUAGGUGGCAAGCGUUGUCCGGAUUUAUUGGGCGUAAAGCGAGCGCAGGCGGUCAAUUAAGUCUGAUGUGAAAGCCCCCGGCUCAACCGGGGAGGGUCAUUGGAAACUGGUUGACUUGAGUGCAGAAGAGGAGAGUGGAAUUCCAUGUGUAGCGGUGAAAUGCGUAGAUAUAUGGAGGAACACCGGUGGCGAAAGCGGCUCUCUGGUCUGUAACUGACGCUGAGGCUCGAAAGCGUGGGGAGCGAACAGG